UACGGAGGGUGCAAGCGUUGUUCGGAAUCAUUGGGCGUAAAGCGCGUGUAGGCGGUCUUGUAAGUCUGAUGUGAAAGCCCGGGGCUCAACCCCGGAAGUGCAUUGGAUACUGCUUGACUAGAGGACGGGAGAGGGAAGUGGAAUUCCAGGUGUAGGGGUGAAAUCCGUAGAUAUCUGGAGGAACAUCGGAAGCGAAGGCGGCUUCCUGGCCCGUAACUGACGCUGAGACGCGAAAGCGUGGGGAGCAAACAGG
This 253-nucleotide ribosomal RNA is filed under the name uncultured bacterium. RNAcentral describes it as "partial 16S ribosomal RNA". It matches the Rfam family "Bacterial small subunit ribosomal RNA", at positions 524 to 776 of the family's 1533-position model. The record is from RNAcentral.